This is a non-coding RNA of Theobroma cacao (cacao), 1008 nucleotides long. The record is from RefSeq and is a predicted model, not a curated record. Lineage: Eukaryota; Viridiplantae; Streptophyta; Magnoliopsida; Malvales; Malvaceae.
CUCUCUAUCGGUUGGCGCUCUCAACUCUCUCUAAAAGUCAGUCAUUUUACUGAGCUCUCCCGUCCGCUGGCAUCUCUUCCUUCCAAGCGGCCCUCCUUUCUUUUUUUUUUCUUUUCCUUCCCUCUCUCUUGGUUGGCUUUCUCCCUUACCAACAGCAGCUCUCUCGUUCAGCGCUCUCACCUCUCUCUAAAAGUUGAUCUUUUUGCUGAGCUCUGCCUCUACCAUUGUUGCUCUUGAGCUACACCUCCAUGGGAAUCAGGAGAGAGAAUUCAAUUUUAUCACGGUGAAUGACACUAGAUCCAAUAGAUGGCACGCGAGGGUUUGUAAACGAAAGUCAGACCGCCUUAUAUGUGGCAAUUGAACUGAAAUGAGAUGUUAGCUUUUUGGAAGUGUUCAACCGCACUCAUAAGCGUUUAGGUGGUCAUGGUGAUUUUGUAGAUAACAAGUCCAAGUCUACGAGUAAGUAUGGUGAGGAUUCAUCUUCCCAACCAAAAUUCGAUCUGCAUGCUUAGGCUGAAGUAAUUGGAGGGAUGGAGACUACACGCACUCGCGUGUAUGGGUUUGGUACUCGGGUGCAUGCUACAACCUUACUUACUGGAACGCACAGCAAUGUUGCAACAUAUGAGUCUACGUGUGGCCCUAUCAACCCAAACGUGACCAGUCCCGCAAUUGUAUUGGAAGAAAAAGUGGAACAUCUUUCAGAAAACUUGGGUAAGAUAUGUGACGAGAUACGUGGGGAGAUACGUGAAGAAAUUAAGAAUGCAAUGACGAAAAGCAUGAGUGAAUUUAUGGCACGUAUGGAAUCCAUGAUCAUGAGUACUGCGCGUUCAAAACGAGGAGAUGCGAGACCUUCAAGCUAAAAUUUGGACAAGUAAGAACACAACAUUUCAUGAUAUGAUGUUUAUUUUUCACUGCCACACUUGGAUACUUUUUAGUGUAGCUGUUUAAUAAUACAUAUAGCUUUAUUUUUAUAUGUAUUUAGCUUUUUUAGUCAUUGUGUGUUUAGGG